This 319-nucleotide unclassified non-coding RNA is filed under the name Arthrobotrys sp. Its description in RNAcentral is "partial internal transcribed spacer region". The stretch from base 1 to 46 matches the Rfam family "Eukaryotic small subunit ribosomal RNA", at positions 1786 to 1831 of the family's 1831-position model. Lineage: Eukaryota; Fungi; Ascomycota; Orbiliomycetes; Orbiliales; Orbiliaceae. The record is from RNAcentral.
AAGUCGUAACAAGGUUUCCGUAGGUGAACCUGCGGAAGGAUCAUUGCCAAUACCAGCCUGCCGGCUGCCGCGGUGGUUGUUAAGUCAACCGCACGGUUUUCCGGUCAGGUGAACCAGUACCACCUGUGCUUUGCAUGGGUACCUGGGUCAACCCUUUGUGAACCAAAACAAACCUUUCGCUUCGGCAGCAGGGCCCUAAACCAGCCCGUCAGCCUGUCGCUAGCACCAAACACAAAAUAAACUUGUUGUAAAAACAUUGUCUGACAACCAAAUUUUCGAAUGAAAAUCAAAACUUUCAACAACGGAUCUCUUGGUUCCC